UUCAUAAUAUGCAAUAUCGAAAUAAUAAUAAUAUGGAAUAUCGAUAGAAAGUAAGCAAAACAUUUGGAUAAAAUUUAUAAAACCAACUAAAACAGUACCGAAACCAAAUACGUCCUUCAAGACUUUACAGUUUACAUGUAUGUACACCUUGAUUUGACUGAACUACGUACAAGGCUUUAAUCCAAGAGAUCGAAAACUUAUGAUCAAAGGCACAUCACAUAUGUAAGUAGGUGAAUAAUUAGAUAGGUUUCCAUGAUAUAUAUAUAUAUAUAUAUAGCGCUUCUCAGCUGCGGACGUCAGCAUUUAUUCUUACGGUGCGGAUUUCCACUUUACACUCACUUUUCAAUCGAAUUUUCACAUCUUCACCGUUUAGUAUUUAGAUACUAAUGUAUAAAUCAUCUCUGCAAAAUUUCAGCUAAUUUGGUUAUCAUUAAGGCACUCAAAACUGUGUUUUUUUGUUAUAAACAUGAACNNNNNNNNNNNNNNNNNNNNUUUUUGUUAUAAACAUGAACAGUUCAAGUUCUACAGAAUUAUGUUCAUCCACAGAAAAACGCAGUUUGAGUGCCUUAAUGAUAACUAAAUUGGCUGAAAUUUUGCAGAGAUGAUCUAUACAUUGGUAUUUAAAUACUAGACGGUGGAGAUGUGAAAAUUCGAUUGAAAAAUGAGUGUAAAGUAGAAAUCCGCACCGUAAGAAUAAAUGCGGACAUCCGUACCUGAGAAAAUCUGUGUAUAUAUAUAUAUAGCAUGUUCCUAUUAGCUAACGUUGUAGCGUAGCAUCGAUCAUGAAUUCAUGAUCAAUAAUUUUGGCAGAAGAUCAACAAUAACGGUCGGUCUUAUAUGCAGAAGGAGCUGGAAAGAUUCAUGUUGUUAAAUACUACCUGCAUUUUAGUUAUGAGCGAGCUCGAGUAUCCAGCAGUACGUAACUACGCAAGUACUGCAUGACGCAGACAGUAUUACGUAACUACGUACGUACUGCAUGACGCAGCAUAACAGUUUCCAAUUUCUACU
Molecule: long non-coding RNA, 1008 nt
Filed under: Fragaria vesca (wild strawberry)
Lineage: Eukaryota; Viridiplantae; Streptophyta; Magnoliopsida; Rosales; Rosaceae
Description: long non-coding RNA (FVES_LNC003311)
Source: RNAcentral